This 5607-nucleotide long non-coding RNA is filed under the name Gallus gallus (chicken). Its description in RNAcentral is "lncRNA (ENSGALG00010006438.1)". The record is from RNAcentral. Lineage: Eukaryota; Metazoa; Chordata; Aves; Galliformes; Phasianidae.
CUGUCAUUGAACCGUCACUAAGGCUGGAAAAGACCUCUAAGGUCACCUAGGCCAACUGUCAACCCAUCACCACCACGUCCACAAGUUCUUCUACGCUUCUAGGGAUGGUGAUAUUAGAGAGGGAUGAGUUUUCCCCUGAGCCUACUCUUCUCCAGACUGAGCAAUCCCGGUUCCCUCAGCCGUUCCUCAUAAGAUUUAUGCUCCAGACCCCACACCAGCUUUGCUGCCCUUCUCUGGACACUCUCCAGUGACUUGAUGUCUUCCUUGAAGUGAAGGACCCCAAACUGAACACAGUACUUGAGGUGCAGCUUCAUCAGUUCCAAGCAAUUACCCACUCAAAUGGCAGCAACAGAAAAUACCAGAGAUCUUAAAAAACACACUAAGCUAAGAGAUUAUUUGGUGAGAGGAGGAGUGGAUGGGCCGUACCCUGAGGAAAUCAGCCCAGAGGUCAGCUGCUGGCACAACUGGAGGGAGAGGAGCUCUGUAGCCUGGCGUGUCCCAGGAUCACCCUGUGGAUAUGCAAGAGGCUGAAGCAGACACCUGACAAGGGCACAAAGUCCUUCCUAGGGCCUGAAAAGAACCCAGCUGAUGGACUGAAGGAUAAGAUUUGUAUAUGUAUGUUGUCUUAAACUGUGAAUCUGCAAGCUUUGUGCAUGGAAACAGCAACUGGACAGGGAGUGGCGCUAGCUCAGAACCUGGAGCAGUACUGCUGUGAGCUGUGGUACUGAGACAUAGCCCAGCUGAGGUGCAAGCCAUAUUCGCUCCCCUGAUUGUCUCAGUUUGUGCUAGCAGCCAGCAGCUCUGUGUGGUGGACAUGCAGCCUGGGGCUCCUUAUCUCCACAGCACAGCACUACAACCACUGCCAUGUGGACCAAAUCUCUUAAACACAGGCACACAGAUACAAAAGUGAGCCAUUUCAGAGCCAGUUCUGAAAUGCUACUUUAUCAAUCGCAACAGAUUUCAAGAAUUUGAGUCUACCUCCUUUAGCAUGGGGAAAAGCAUCUCAUUGUUUAAACACUCAGGUCUCAGUCUACAGAUAAAGUUAGCAGAUGUGCCACUCAGGAUCUCAGUCUCUCCUCGUCCUCACCAAAGCACACAAGCAGAUGUUCAGCCUUCAGCUUCAUACCGUGCAGGCAACGAGUACUGCAGCAAAUGACACCAUAUAUGUGCUGCUAAGACCACAGUAAGUACCAGAGUUAUGUGUAUACACAGGCACUUUUCACAAUCAAGUAGUCAUUAAUUGGGAAUCCUGUAGUUAGAAAACCUAGACAGUGGAAUUUACACGCAGGACUAAAUGACCUAAUUCAAAACCUUUUGCCAACUUUGCGCUUGAGGUGAAAGUGAAGAAACAACGUAGCAGGUAAAAAUGUGGUUAAUAUGAGCCUAGCUUUCAUCUUAAUGUAGCACUUGUAAGUUACUUCCAACUGGGUAGCUUUCAAAAACAUUUUCCAUAUUUACUAAUUCUGGGUGUCCCUGUUACCUAGCUAAUAUAUAUAUGCCCACAGCUUUCACUUCUUUCUUCAGACCUUCCCAGCUUCUUUGUUUUCACAAUGCAGUGUUGAAAUGGAUACAACAAAUUAAAAUGUGUUAUGAGAGAAGUGUUUUUGUCUGAACUGAAUUUGCCAGCUUGGGACUUCACUAAUGGCUUUCUGAUCUUAAAUUAUGGCACAGAGGAACUCAUUACUUCAUCUGAAUUCUUAACAUUAAUUGUGAUUUUUUGAAAUAUUAUUAGUUAGCCAUUUAUCUCUGAAGGUUUUUCCACAGCAUAUUCAAGGGAACAAAUACUCUUUGUUUUCUGAAGUAGGAGUUUUCAGUUUUAAAAUACCUCCUUGGAUGUUUUUCAUACUCUUGUACAGGAUCUUGUGAAAUUUCAUGAGCAAUGGUUGAUAUAUUUUCAUUAAAAUUCUAUAUUACUCUCAUUAUUUAUUUUCUCAAAAUCAUUGAUUCUGGAUACACAAAUUAUUUGAAAUAUAAUCAUAUGUCUUGAUCUGAUUUAGUCAAUUAAAAACUUAAAUAGUGAGAAUAAGAAUUAUUUUUGUUCUAGCACUGUAUUUUUCAUUUGGUUGCUCUUUGUUUCUUUCUCCCAUAUUUUGAUCCAUGGAGAUAUUUUGUUCCUUAGACCACAACUGUUUCUUAUCGUUGGUAGUUCCCAUGUUGUUUGUCUUCACUGAAUGUUGCUGACACACCUUGCUAGGAAAAAGCGUUGAGAGGACAGAUUUGUACAUAGUACUUGCUCACUACUUUAGGUUUGUAGUAGUAAUCAGCGAGGUAUUCAAGAGUAAAUACAAGUAAUCACAAUUUUAGCUACGUCUAGAUUGAACAACACAGCAUUUAUGCACUUUUUGUUAAUUUCAUCCAGGUGCAUCUAUCUGUGAUGUCCUUUACUGCUAUUGGAAUAGGACAGGAGAUGCUUUCAAAAGGUGUGAUGUAGCAUAGAUUGCAUGUCUUGUGGAAAGUACUAGAUGUCUUUCUGCUUGGUACAUCUGAAGCAGUUAAAGUUUUGUACUGUAAUAGCAAGAUGAAUGAUUCACAUUAAGCCUCUGACUAUAUAGUUUAUCAGCCAGUGAAGGAAAACAAGUGUCACUAACACAGGCUGAAGUACAAGUUUAUGUUCCUAAUUUGAAAAUAUAAAAGCGUAAAAAUUCUGGUGUGAACAUUUAGAGCUCAUUGUAUGAAAACUGUGGGUUCUAUGUAUUCAAAACACAUCAGUUUGAGCUGCCUUUGUGUAUUGUCCUAUUUCAUCCUCUUCAGAAACAAAAGUAUAAUUCAAACUGCAGUGUUGAAGGAUGCACACUUGUGAAAGGGAGAUGAAUACCUCCUUUAUGAGAUUGCUUUAUCCAAGCUCAGUGUGCUUUUUGCUAUAAUAGACAUAUUGGAUUCUGUACAAUAAAUAUUUUCCUUAUGGGAUAUUUUGGACUCUACCACUGUUUAACAAUCCUGACAUUUUGUUGCACUGUUAGGCUUGGAUAGAUUGAUAUAUAGACAGUCACACAGUCUGUGUAAUCGGCUUUUCUGCAAUCCAUGCUGGCAGGCUUUAUCAAAAAACUAACUCUGCUAAUGUUCUAAUUAUAUGGAGGGACAUACUAGAUGCUUAAAUCUCAAAAUGAGUACCAUUAACUUCAACAAUACCAUUCAUAUGGGUAAAGCAGAGUAUAUGUUUAAAGUGAACUGUUAGUAGAAGUAAAUUCUCUGCCCAAUAGUAUGUAACAUUCCUCUUAAACAAAGAAGCUUUGUUAUGUGGUCAACACAUAUCAUGCAGCUUUGUCACAGGGCUCACAGAACACACAAUUCAGUAAUACUAAAAACACCUUUUGAUUUCCAGUAUGUUUCUACAAUAACUUGCUUGCAUGACCACUACAAUCUCGAUAGAGGAUAUUGUGACCAUUGCUAGUUUCAGAGCACACACUAUCUUUGCCAUUUAGCUUUAUGUCAAGUACUUGAGUUCAUAAGGACUCUUUAUCAAGGGCAUAGAGUUCCAAUGUAGCACUCAUUAUGGUCAGUGGAUGUAUUUCUAUUUUCUUUGUUAGUAGAGUGGUUGAGAUUAAUUUUAACCUUGUCAUUGGUUGAAAUCUGGUCCAAGUGUUCAGCAAAGAAGAGUGACCAUAUUGGGUGUAGUUGGUUUGGCCACACUAAGAACAGCUGUUGGUGCCAAAAAAAGCAUUAGGACAAGUGGUUCCCCAUGGCAGCAUCAGGAAACUGGCACAGAGUGAUGCUGCUGCCAGCAUCCCAGGGAAGCUCAGGCACCCAGCAGCUCACACAUUAUCUGCUUCCUACAGGAAUAUCACAAAGCAUCAUUAUAAGCUUACUAAAGCAAAUAGUGUAACCACUACCUUGUGUUUACCUUUGGUGAACUUGUUAUCAUUUAAGAAAACUGCAAUGUAAACAUAUAAAAUGCUAUGUAAUGUGAGCUGCAGGUAGUGCUUUGAGUAUGGAAAAAAAAUAGGACUGCAUAAAGUCUAUUUUCUGGCAUCAACAUUUACAAAUAUUAACUAAAAAUUUACACAUCACAAUUUUUAAUGUGGUCAGGACAAAUAACAAUAUAAAGUUUAUUAUUUGAUUACUUGCCCAGAUCUAAAGUUAUAUGUAUUUGAGGGAACUCCAGCUGCAUGCUUCAUGUAAUUCUACUUGCAUACUUCAUGUAUACUGAAGCCAAAAAGGACAAUUAAAUAGUCUUACCCUCACCUCUUGUAUAACACAAGACACCAGACUUACUAUCUUGGUAUGUUUCAUAUAUUCUGUUUAUUUAAAGAAAUAUACAAGAAUACCAUAAGUAAGCCAUGCAAUUUGGGCACUUACAAAAUACUAAGACACAAAAUACACUUAUAGAUGGAGAGUAAAUCACUGUAGUCUUGAGCUUGGAAUAUCUACAUGUGGCCCGUGACUGGGAUAAAUUUUGUCUUAGUCAUAUCAUUGUAUUCUUAUGCACUACAGCAUCUGUUAUACCAUCCAAAACAUCUUGUACUUGCUCCGUCAAAGGCAAAACCUGUGAUUAAAUGGUUUGCUGGCACUUUCUCCAUUCUGAACCUUUCUCCUUUCUUUUGAUUUUAUUUUCUGCUCAGCUUCCAGUUCUAAAAGCGAUAUAUGCAAUACACUGCAGUGAAAAUACUGUUAAAAUCAAGGUCACUGAGACUGAUCCCAGAGACUACCAUUGGUCUUCAUAUCAGUCUCCUUGUUAACAAUAUACUGAACUGACAUUUUCCUGGAUUUAUACACCUUAUCUUCACAGUGCAGCAGCUAGAAAACUAAUACGUGCUAAAAUAAAUGGGGAUGCCAAGUAUAAUACUCCUCCAGGGAAUGGGAACUGCAGUGAACCUUCUUUCCAAUGGACACAAUGGUUUUGUUUUCCUCUAAAAAAUAAGCUUGUCUAAUGUAGAUGUGUAUCAACUGAGAGAUUUUUAAAAAUAUUAGAACUUCCCUAGCAGACUCAUUUACAAGGGACUGUUUCUAUGUAUCUUUUCCUAACAAAAGACUACAGGGAAAUGUUUCACAGUGAAGCAUCAGAACCUGGCACUGUGCUUCAAAAGGAUAAACUCUUGUCAAAAAUGUAAUAACAAAUAAUAAGUUAGAUAAACAAACAACAGCUUCACAAAUGAACAGUGACCUAGAAAUCAGGGUUCUACAUGGCUUAUCAAGUAACAAAACAACAACAACAACAAAAGGGUCACUGCACUAACAUUUGCAUGUAGUUGCACAAUUGUUUCACCAGUAUGAGAUGACUAUUGAGUGGCCUAGAAGUAAUAUAUUGUUGGUUUGGGUAAAUGUCUUAGUGCGUAGCUGUCCAUCCUCACCAAAUGGUCUGUCAGUGCAUGUUGUCAGUUUUGCUACAGAAUACGAAGAGACUGAACUGCAUGGUCUGCUUCUGAUUUUAAAAUGUUGUCAGUGACAAUGAUGAGAAGAUUUUAAACUUCACUGCUGUUAAAUUAGAAAAUUAAUGUGUUUACAGUAGUCUUUUACAAAACCAUUCUAACUCUGUGUUAGCUAAUAGAUAAACUAUGCUGUAUUUCCUAACUACUCUCCAUCUUAAGUUUAGAAAAUACUGAGGUGGCAAUGCUUUGCAUUUUCUUUUUGUAUUUUAAACAAAAAAUGUAAUCUUUAUGACUGUCCUAC